AACGAACGCUGGCGGCGCGCCUAAUACAUGCAAGUCGAGCGAGAGGACGUAGCAAUACGUUUGUAAAGCGGCGAACGGGUGAGGAAUACAUGGGUAACCUACCCUCGAGUGGGGAAUAACUAGCCGAAAGGUUAGCUAAUACCGCGUACGCUCCUUGGACUUCGGUUCAGGGAGGAAAGCGAUACCGUGGGUAUCGCGCUCUUGGAUGGGCUCAUGUCCUAUCAGCUUGUUGGUGAGGUAACGGCUCACCAAGGCUUCGACGGGUAGCUGGUCUGAGAGGACGAUCAGCCACACUGGCACUGCGACACGGGCCAGACUCCUACGGGAGGCAGCAGUAAGGAAUAUUGCGCAAUGGGCGAAAGCCUGACGCAGCGACGCCGCGUGGGGGAUGAAGGUCUUCGGAUUGUAAACCCCUUUCGGGAGGGAAGAUGGAACGAGCAAUCGUUCGGACGGUACCUCCAGAGCAGCCACGGCUAACUUCGUGCCAGCAGCCG
RNAcentral lists this ribosomal RNA (494 nucleotides) under uncultured bacterium. RNAcentral describes it as "bacterial SSU rRNA". It matches the Rfam family "Bacterial small subunit ribosomal RNA", at positions 29 to 517 of the family's 1533-position model. The record is from RNAcentral.